UAUCUCUGUAGAGUCUGCAUAUCAAUAAGCGGAGGAAAAGAAACUAACAAGGAUUCCCCUAGUAACGGCGAGUGAAGCGGGAAGAGCUCAAAUUUGAAAUCUUCAAGGUUUGACCUUGACGAAUUGUAGUUUAAAGAAGUGUUUUCGGUUAGAGGAGUAGUAAAAGUUCUUUGGAAUAGGACAUCAUAGAGGGUGAGAAUCCCGUAUUUGACUAUUCUUUCUAGCUUUGUGAUUACACUUUCAAAGAGUCGGAUUGUUUGGGAAUGCAGUCCAAAAUGGGUGGUAAAUUUCAUCUAAAGCUAAAUAUUGGCGAGAGACCGAUAGCGAACAAGUACCGUGAGGGAAAGAUGAAAAGAACUUUGAAAAGAGAGUUAAACAGUACGUGAAAUUGUCAAAAGGGAAGCGUUUGACACCAGUGUUGUUUUUCCGAAAAUCAAUCAAAAAUUGAUUCAUGCCAGGUUGUAUUGACCUUAUCAGCUUGCAAUUUGGUUUUGGGUCUCUUUUUGAUGCACUUUUCGGUUAACAAGUCAACAUCAAUUUCCUUUGCUGUAAAAAGGUAAGAGGAAGGUGGCUUCAAUUUCGGUUGAAGUGUUUAUAGCCUUUUAUCUCUGCAGUCGGGGAGAUUGAGGUCUGCAGCGUAGAUCCUUCGGGGCUAGAUACAUUUAUGCUAAGUUAUAGCUUUUCAUAGACAACUUGUUGACUAUGUUUAGUCAUGUAGCUUACUCGUAAGUGCUACUUUACCUACGCUUAGGAUGUUGAGCGCAUGUCUCUCUCU
This 775-nucleotide ribosomal RNA is filed under the name uncultured Neocallimastigales. Its description in RNAcentral is "partial large subunit ribosomal RNA". It matches the Rfam family "Eukaryotic large subunit ribosomal RNA", at positions 24 to 642 of the family's 3401-position model. Lineage: Eukaryota; Fungi; Neocallimastigomycota; Neocallimastigomycetes; Neocallimastigales. The record is from RNAcentral.